GUAAUACGUAGGUGGCAAGCGUUGUCCGGAAUUAUUGGGCGUAAAGCGCGCGCAGGCGGUUCCUUAAGUCUGAUGUGAAAUCUCGCGGCUCAAUCGCGAGCGGCCAUUGGAAACUGGGGAACUUGAGUGCAGGAGAGGGGAGCGGAAUUCCACGUGUAGCGGUGAAAUGCGUAGAGAUGUGGAGGAACACCAGUGGCGAAGGCGGCUCUCUGGCCUGUAACUGACGCUGAGGCGCGAAAGCGUGGGGAGCGAACAGGAUUAGAUACCCUGGUGAGU
Molecule: ribosomal RNA, 276 nt
Filed under: uncultured bacterium
Lineage: Bacteria
Description: partial 16S ribosomal RNA
Rfam family: Bacterial small subunit ribosomal RNA
Source: RNAcentral